RNAcentral lists this ribosomal RNA (433 nucleotides) under uncultured bacterium. Its description in RNAcentral is "partial 16S ribosomal RNA". It matches the Rfam family "Bacterial small subunit ribosomal RNA", at positions 29 to 507 of the family's 1533-position model. The record is from RNAcentral.
AACGAACGCUGGCGGCAGGCCUAACACAUGCAAGUCGAGCGAGGACUUCGGUCCUAGCGGCGGACGGGUGAGUAACGCGUGGGAACGUGCCCUUUGCUUCGGAAUAGACCUGGGAAACUGGGAGUAAUACCGGAUGAGCCCUGUGGGGGAAAGAGUUAUCGGCGAAGGAACGGACCGCGUUGGAUUAGGUAGUUGGUGGGGGAAUGGCCUACCAAGCCGACGAUCCAUAGCUGGUUUGAGAGGAUGAGCGACCACACUGGAGCUGAGACACGGCCCAGACUCCCACGAGAGGCAGCAAAGUGGAAUCUCAGACCACGAGAGCGACCCUCAUCCAGCCAUGAAGCGUGAGGCAUGAAGGCGUUAGGGUUGUAAAGCGCUUUGAGAUCGAAAGAUAUUGACGGUACCGGCAGAAGAACCCCCGGCUAACGACGUG